RNAcentral lists this ribosomal RNA (503 nucleotides) under uncultured bacterium. Its description in RNAcentral is "partial 16S ribosomal RNA". It matches the Rfam family "Bacterial small subunit ribosomal RNA", at positions 30 to 523 of the family's 1533-position model. The record is from RNAcentral.
AUUGAACGCUGGCGGCAGGCUUAACACAUGCAAGUCGAGCGGAGUGAUGGUGCUUGCACUAUCACUUAGCGGCGGACGGGUGAGUAAUGCUUAGGAAUCUGCCUAUUAGUGGGGGACAACAUCUCGAAAGGGAUGCUAAUACCGCAUACGUCCUACGGGAGAAAGCAGGGGAUCACCUGUGACCUUGCGCUAAUAGAUGAGCCUAAGUCGGAAUAGCUAGUUGGUGGGGUAAAGGCCUACCAAGGCGACGAUCUGUAGCGGGUCUGAGAGGAUGAUCCGCCACACUGGGUCUGAGACACGGCCCAGACUCCUACGGGAGGCAGCAGUGGGGAAUAUUGGACAAUGGGGGGAACCCUGAUCCAGCCAUGCCGCGUGUGUGAAGAAGGCCUUAUGGUUGUAAAGCACUUUAAGCGAGGAGGAGGCUCUUUUGGUUAAUACCCAAGAUGAGUGGACGUUACUCGCAGAAUAAGCACCGGCUAACUCUGUGCCAGCCGCCGCAGUAA